RNAcentral lists this ribosomal RNA (253 nucleotides) under uncultured bacterium. RNAcentral describes it as "partial 16S ribosomal RNA". It matches the Rfam family "Bacterial small subunit ribosomal RNA", at positions 524 to 776 of the family's 1533-position model. The record is from RNAcentral.
UACGAAGGGGGCCAGCGUUGUUCGGAAUCACUGGGCGUAAAGGGCGCGUAGGCGGCUUUGUAAGUCGGGGGUGAAAGCCUGUGGCUCAACCACAGAAUUGCCUUCGAUACUGCAUGGCUUGAGACCGGAAGAGGUAAGUGGAACUGCGAGUGUAGAGGUGAAAUUCGUAGAUAUUCGCAAGAACACCAGUGGCGAAGGCGGCUUACUGGUCCGGUUCUGACGCUGAGGCGCGAAAGCGUGGGGAGCAAACAGG